ACUAGGGAUCGGGCGAUGUUCAUCAUUAUGACUCGCUCGGAACCUUACGAGAAAUCAAAGUCUUUGGGUACUGGGGGAGUAUGGUCGCAAGGCUGAAACUUAAAUGAAUUGACGGANGGGCACCACCAGGAUGUGGAGCCUGGGGCUUAAUUUGACUCAACACGGGGAAACUCACCAGGUCCAGACACAAUAAGGAUUGACAGAUUGAGAGCUCUUUCUUGAUUUUGUGG
Molecule: ribosomal RNA, 230 nt
Filed under: uncultured fungus
Lineage: Eukaryota; Fungi
Description: partial 18S ribosomal RNA
Rfam family: Eukaryotic small subunit ribosomal RNA
Source: RNAcentral